GACGAACGCUGGCGGCGUGCUUAACACAUGCAAGUCGAACGAAGUGGCGAACGGGUGAGUAAUACGUGGGUAACCUGCCCUCCUUUUUGGGAUAAGCCUUGGAAACGGGGUCUAAUACCGAAUAAAGGGGGAUGGGCUCGCGGCCUAUCAGCUUGUUGGUGGGGUGAUGGCCUAACAAGGCGGUGACGGGUAGCCGGCCUGAGAGGGUGACCGGCAACAGUGGGACGGAGAAACGGCCAAGACGAGGAAGGGGGGCAGAAGUGGGGGAUAUUGCAGAAUGGGCGAAAGCCUGAUGCAGCGACGCCGCGUGGGGGAUGAAGGCUUUCGGGUUGUAAACCUCUUUCGCUAUCGAAGGGGUAGGUGGAGAAGAAGCGCCGGCUAACUACGUGCCAGCCGCCGCGGUAAUAC
This 408-nucleotide ribosomal RNA is filed under the name uncultured bacterium. Its description in RNAcentral is "partial 16S ribosomal RNA". It matches the Rfam family "Bacterial small subunit ribosomal RNA", at positions 28 to 526 of the family's 1533-position model. The record is from RNAcentral.